UACGUAGGGUGCAAGCGUUGUCCGGAAUUAUUGGGCGUAAAGCGCGCGCAGGUGGUGCGGUAAGUCUGUCGUGAAAUCUCCCGGCUCAACUGGGAGGGUGCGGUGGAGACUGCCGGACUGGAGGCACUCAGAGGCCGGUGGAAUUCCCGGUGUAGUGGUGAAAUGCGUAGAGAUCGGGAGGAACACCAAUGGCGAAGGCAGCUCGCUGGGACGGUACUGACGCUGAGACGCGAAAGCGUGGGGAGCAAACAGG
This 253-nucleotide ribosomal RNA is filed under the name uncultured bacterium. RNAcentral's name for it is "partial 16S ribosomal RNA". It matches the Rfam family "Bacterial small subunit ribosomal RNA", at positions 524 to 776 of the family's 1533-position model. The record is from RNAcentral.